UCUUCCGACCGUGGACGACCCUACUCCGAACUUCUUUCGGACUUCGUCAGCAUCCGAGCUUCUCCGACAACAAGAUUUCUACAGUAACCAGACUCCAUCUAAGUUUUUACGGUGGUCGACCGCCUUUCGGAUCCCAACCAAACUCCCACAAGAGCCGAACUUCUACUACGAGUAGUCUACUCUGAAUUCCUACGGCAGGCUGUCUACCCCAGAUAUCUACUGUAAGCAAAUUCCAUUCGAGCCUUUACUGUAAAUAAAUUUCUU
This 264-nucleotide long non-coding RNA is filed under the name Elaeis guineensis (African oil palm). Its description in RNAcentral is "long non-coding RNA (EGUI_LNC076600)". Lineage: Eukaryota; Viridiplantae; Streptophyta; Magnoliopsida; Arecales; Arecaceae. The record is from RNAcentral.